AUUAUGGAUAGAUAGCUAUAUAUUAAAGAGGGACAUAUAUAUUAUGUUGAUCCAACAUAAAUGCCAAAAAACAUACUCACUUGCUUAGUUAUAGCAUGAACUCUUAGUUGAAAUUCAAUAAAAAAACGAAGUGAAUUGAAAUAUCUUAUUAACUUCAGGAAUAUAAAUCAAACGAGAUUCUACAAGUAGUGUGAAUGAAAGUAGAAAAGCCUUAAAGUAAAAUGGAGUGCAUACCUGUUUGAAUAUAAAGGGGAAUCUUCCUCUAAGGCUAAAUAUAAUAUAUAAGCGAUAGCGAUACAAAGUACCGUGAGGGAAUAUCUUGAAAUAGUGGUUUUAUAAGCAGCUCAAGUAAAUUUUAAAUAAUAAGAGCGUACCUUUUGCAUAAUGGGUCAGUAAGUUAAUAUUAGAUGCGAGCAGUAAUGCGAAGAUAAACCAAUUGUGAAAGAAUGAUUUAGUAUCUAAAAUUAGACCCGAAGCCUAGUGAUCUUACCAUGAUCAGGAUUAUAAAAGUCCGAACGGUUUAUCGUUGUAAUGAUAUCCGAAGAAUUGUGGUAAGUUAGUGAAAGACAACACUGACUAGGAUAGCUGGUUUUCCGCGAAACCUAUAUUUGUAGGUAAUUUUAAUAACAUCAAAGCAGGUACAGAAUUGUGAUCUCAUGCAACUUUUAUAUUAAUUUAACAUUAAUGUACUUUUUGUGGACAUUGGGGGAUCGUGAAGAUUUUAUCAGUGAGUAUUUGUUCUCGGAAGGGCUUAGAUGAAUAUUGAAUAAUCAGACAUAGUACGAUAAGGUUGUAUGUCUAAAGGGAAAGAGCCCAGAACAAGAGUUAAUAAGGUUCCAAAAUUAUUGUUAAGUGAAAUAAAGGUAGUUUUUGUCCUAUUCGAUCAGGAAAUGGGCUUAGAAGCAGCCAUUUUUUAAAGACCUCGUAAUAGAGCACUGAUUAUACAGAAACAGAAAAAGACUUAGUGGACAAGAGCAUCUAAAAUUUAACGGAUCUAAAUAAUAUACCGAUACCUUGUACAUAUAGAUACAAAUAAAACGAAGCUUUGCCUAUUAAAGCUAUUCCAAUUUUCCUUAUAUUGCUUUUGUACUUUUUUUUCUUUUUUAUAACCGUGUGCUUUUUUUAAAAAUAAUAAAACUAUAAUAAAUAAUAAAUAAUAAAUAAUAAAUAAUAAAUACUAAAAUUUUACGUAUUUGCUUUUUCUUCUAGCUAUCCAAUUAUAUAGUCUAUAUGGGGUAGCGGAACGUUGGGUAAUUAUUAGAUUAUUUCUAUUUAAGAUUUAAAGAUAUCUAAAUCCCAAGUGAUAAUGCUGACAUGAGUAACGAUAAAGGAUAAUAUCCUCGCCUAAAGUUUAAGGAAGCUAAUUAUGUAACGGCCUCUAAGUUAUAGUUCUAACGUGCUAAACGAUGGAAAAAUCAUUGAAUAAAUAACAACUUUUGUUUUUUUGAGUAAAAGAGAUAUCUAUCUCAAAAAAUUGUGACAAAUGUUCUGGAAAAAAGAUGCUUUAAACCGUGCCUAGAAUCUAACACAAGAAAACUAGUAGAGAAUACGAAGGCGUUCGAGUGAACAAUCAUUAAGGAACUCGGCAAAUUGACUCGCGUAACUUCGGGAGAAGGUGGGCCAUUCCUGCUUAUUUAUAAAGUUAGGAAGAGGAGGCACAGAAUGGUGCUGUACGACUGUUUAAUUAAAACACAACACACUGCAAAGAUAAAAAUCGAAGUAUAGGGUGUGAUGUCUGCCCGAUGGCGGCUGGUUAACGGAUUUGCUUAGUUGAUUAAGUUAGGCUUUGAAGGAACCCCCGUUCAAUGGCAGCCUUACCUAUGAGGGUUCUAAGGUAGCGAAAUACCUUGGCCGUUAAAUGCGGUCUUGCAUGAAUGAUGUAACGAUACAGCAGCUGUCUCAAUGAUUGGCUCGGUGAAAUUGGAAUAACUGUGCAGAUACAGUUUACCUCUAGAUAGACGAGAAGACCCUAUGCAGCUUUACUGUUUCUAGUUAUUUGGUAUGAUAUAACCGGUUUUAGUGUAUAAGGUAGUUGGUAAGAUAUAAUUGAAACACCUUUACUUGGUUUAUCAUAUUGUAUCACCUUAAAAGUGGAACAUUUGCUAGGUGGCAGUUUAUGCGGGGAACAGAUCCCAUAAAUAGUACCUGGGUGUAUCCAAAUUAAAUAGUUAAUUAAAUGAUAGUUUUUAUUACUUAUUAAGUUUAAUGGCUCAAUCUUGCUUUACUGAUUGACUUACACGUCUUUCAGUCGCGUAAGCGGGGCAUAUGAUCACAAGACGCUUAAAGAAAAGGUCUUGGAUUUUCGAAAAAGUUACGCUAGGGAUAACAGGCUAAUUGCGCCAGAGAGCUCAAAUUGGGUGCGCAGUUUGGCACCUCGAUGUCGGCUUAGCUUAUCCACAUGAAUGCAAGGGUCAUGAAGGGUGCGACUGUUCGUCGAUUAAAAAGCUACACGAGCUGGGUUAAAUACGUCGUGAGACAGUAUGGAUUCUAUCUUCUAGAGGGAUUUAGAAUAAAAUAAGGAUAGCCCCUGGUACGAAAGGAGAAGGGUAUGUUAAUCUAUGGUUUACCUGUUGUUUGUGUACCUAUAUUAAAAUAAUAUAACUUAGACGUUAUCUCUAUGAUUUAUAGUGGGGUUUACUUAUCACUAAAGUAAUGCUAGACACAGGCACGGCAGGAAUGCUACGUUAGUUAUAGAUAAGAGCUGAAUGAAUAUAGGCAUGAAACUUACCUUAAGAUAUUCUUAUAAACACGUAGUUUAACACUACGAUUUUAAAUAACAUCUAUAAAAUAUAAUUAUAAAAAACAAAAACAAACUUAUUUAAUUAAUAGGCUUAAGUUGAAAUAAUUGUGAGAUUGUUAGGCAUUAAGUACUAAUUUUU
RNAcentral lists this ribosomal RNA (2879 nucleotides) under Heterodermia speciosa. It matches the Rfam family "Bacterial large subunit ribosomal RNA". Lineage: Eukaryota; Fungi; Ascomycota; Lecanoromycetes; Caliciales; Physciaceae. The record is from RNAcentral.